AUUGAACGCUGGCGGCAUGCCUUACACAUGCAAGUCGAACGGCAGCACGGGAGCAAUCCUGGUGGCGAGUGGCGAACGGGUGAGUAAUACAUCGGAACGUGCCCAUUAGUGGGGGAUAGCCCGGCGAAAGCCGGAUUAAUACCGCAUACGACCUACGGGUGAAAGCAGGGGAUCGCAAGACCUUGCGCUAUUGGAGCGGCCGAUGUCAGAUUAGCUAGUUGGGGGGUAAAAGCCUACCAAGGCGACGAUCUGUAGCUGGUCUGAGAGGACGACCAGCCACACUGGGACUGAGACACGGCCCAGACUCCUACGGGAGGCAGCAGUGGGGAAUUUUGGACAAUGGGCGAAAGCCUGAUCCAGCCAUGCCGCGUGCGGGAAGAAGGCCU
RNAcentral lists this ribosomal RNA (386 nucleotides) under uncultured bacterium. Its description in RNAcentral is "bacterial SSU rRNA". It matches the Rfam family "Bacterial small subunit ribosomal RNA", at positions 29 to 417 of the family's 1533-position model. The record is from RNAcentral.